GACGACGCUGGCGGCGUGCCUAACACAUGCAAGUCGAGCGGGGUUGAAGCGAGGGGUAACUCGGACUUCUACCUAGCGGCGGACGGGUGAGUAACGCGUGGGCAACCUGCCUCAAGGUUUGGGAUAACAGCUCGAAAGGGCUGCUAAUACCGGAUAUGCCUGUGGCCUCGCAUGGGGCUAUGAGCAAAGGGGAAACCCGCCUUGAGAUGGGCCCGCGUCCCAUCAGCUAGUUGGUGAGGUGAAGGCUCACCAAGGCGACGACGGGUAGCCGGCCUGAGAGGGUGACCGGCCACACUGGGACUGAGACACGGCCCAGACUCCUACGGGGGGCAGCAGUGGGGGAUCUUGCACAAUGGGCGAAAGCCUGAUGCAGCGACGCCGCGUGAGCGAAGAAGGCCUUCGGGUUGUAAAGCUCUGUCUGGAGGGACGAAGGAAGUGACGGUACCUCCGGAGGAAGCCACGGCUAACUACGUG
Molecule: ribosomal RNA, 474 nt
Filed under: uncultured bacterium
Lineage: Bacteria
Description: bacterial SSU rRNA
Rfam family: Bacterial small subunit ribosomal RNA
Source: RNAcentral